AUUGAACGCUGGCGGAAUGCUUUACACAUGCAAGUCGAACGGUAGAGGGGGCAACCCCUCGAGAGUGGCGAACGGGUGAGUAAUAUAUCGGAACGUGCCCAGUCGUGGGGGAUAACGUAGCGAAAGUUACGCUAAUACCGCAUACGAUCUAAGGAUGAAAGCGGGGGAUCGCAAGACCUCGCGCGAUUGGAGCGGCCGAUAUCAGAUUAGGUAGUUGGUGGGGUAAAGGCUCACCAAGCCAACGAUCUGUAGCUGGUCUGUGAGGACGACCAGCCUCACUGGAACUGAGACACGGUCCAGACUCCUACGGGAGGCAGCAGUGGGGAAUUUUGGACAAUGGACGCAAGUCUGAUCCAGCCAUUCCGCGUGCAGGAUGAAGGCCCUCGGGUUGUAAACUGCUUUUGUACGGAACGAAAAGGUCUCUCUUAAUACGGGGGGCUCAUGACGGUACCGUAAGAAUAAGCACCGGCUAACUACGUGCCAGCCGCCGCGGUAA
This 496-nucleotide ribosomal RNA is filed under the name uncultured bacterium. RNAcentral describes it as "partial 16S ribosomal RNA". It matches the Rfam family "Bacterial small subunit ribosomal RNA", at positions 30 to 523 of the family's 1533-position model. The record is from RNAcentral.